GGGGAUGUAGCUCAGCGGGAGAGCGCCUGCUUUGCAAGCAGGAGGUCGUGGGUUCAAGUCCCACCAUCUCCA
RNAcentral lists this transfer RNA (72 nucleotides) under Hydrogenobacter hydrogenophilus. RNAcentral describes it as "tRNA_Ala_TGC". It matches the Rfam family "tRNA". From Rfam's summary of the family: Transfer RNA (tRNA) molecules are approximately 80 nucleotides in length. Their secondary structure includes four short double-helical elements and three loops (D, anti-codon, and T loops). Lineage: Bacteria; Pseudomonadati; Aquificota; Aquificia; Aquificales; Aquificaceae. RNAcentral also lists the same sequence under 6 other names. The record is from RNAcentral.